RNAcentral lists this ribosomal RNA (253 nucleotides) under uncultured bacterium. RNAcentral describes it as "partial 16S ribosomal RNA". It matches the Rfam family "Bacterial small subunit ribosomal RNA", at positions 524 to 776 of the family's 1533-position model. The record is from RNAcentral.
UACAGAGGUCCCAAGCGUUGUUCGGAUUCAUUGGGCGUAAAGGGUGCGUAGGUGGCGUCGUAAGUCGGGUGUGAAAUCUCGGGGCUUAACUCCGAAACUGCAUUCGAUACUGCGGUGCUUGAGGACUGGAGAGGAGACUGGAAUUCAUGGUGUAGCAGUGAAAUGCGUAGAGAUCAUGAGGAAGACCAGUGGCGAAGGCAGGUCUCUGGACAGUUCCUGACACUGAGACACGAAGGCCAGGGGAGCAAACGGG